CACGGCACAUUACUCACUCGCGACUCUGACCCCCAAGACUCUUACAUCAUCAAGUCCGCUAGGUCCAAUUAUUUAAGUCCGCUCGUGCUCGCCAACGCCUUCCUCGUGGCCGGCGCGCUGGCCAUGCCGUCUUCGGUUUCUGUUUGAUGUGCUCGCGCGCCGUGCAGAUCUCCAUCAACGUCGGCCUCCUUCUCGGGUACCUGUCGAACUGCGCCUUAGCCGACCUGCCGGCGCGCCUCGGCUGGCGCGUCGUGUACGCCGCCGGCGUGCUGCCACCAGCGCUCAUCGCUGCGGGGGUCGGGCUGCAGUUCUUCCAGGAAGCGUCGGGCAUCGAGGGCCGACGCCAUCGUGCUGUGCAACCCGCUGGUGUUUAAGCAGGCCGGCGUGUCGUCGAACAACGCCGUCCAGGGCGCCACCGCCGCCGUCGGGGCGGUCAAGACGCUCUCCAUCCUCGUGGCCGCGUUCCUCUCCAGCCGCCCGCUCUUGCUGGCCAGCACGGCAGCCCCGGCGGCGUCGCGGUGACGACGGCCUCGCUGGCGGUGUCCCUCCCCUUCGGCGCCACGCCGGCAUGCCUCGCGUCCGUGCUGGCCUUCAUCGUGGCGUUCUCCGUCGGGCUCGGGCCGCGCGGAGGUCAUGCCGUUGCGGCAGGGGUUUUCCGCAAAAAUACGAAUGCGUAUUUUGCAGAAAAAAUCCUAAUUUGAAUCGUGAUUAAUAGUUACGAUCCGAUUCGGAGGGUCAUACCAAAAAACCGGGAUGUGUAUUCGUACAAAACCUCCUAAUUUAGAUCGCGAUUACGAUUUAGGGGGUUAUUUGCAAAGUUGCAUUUUGUAAAAGGCCCCCUCAUUCGAUUCUCCAUGGCGGACUGAAGCAGAGGCCGCCGGCAAGCGGCGGCGGCGGACGGGAUGGGGGAAUUAUGCAACGCCAGAGAAUCUGAAGACUCGGAGGUGAAGGCGAUGGGCGAGGAGACGGGCGCCGCUUCCGCCGGAUCUCGAGGGUGCUCCACUCCCGCUUGGUUCCAUGAUCGGCGGCAUCUUCCUGUGCGGAGCGAGGCCGCGGGGCGUCCGAGGAUUGCGAGACCAGGUGGUUGGUUUCGGUUUACGGUAGGAAAUUGCCGAUGGGUUGCUGGGAACAGGAUUGCUGGCGAGUUGCCGGAUCAAUGGAUUUUGGCUUUCGUUAGUGCUGUAUCAGUCUCAGUUCUUCUGCCAUGUGUGUUUUUUAGUCAAUUGCAGGAUAUGAAAAGCAAAGAUGGGCCUGCACCUGUAGCUCGGUAUCCAGAUUUAGGGUGAUUAUUUUCUCAGCCUGAUUUCACUGUUGGCUGUUGCUUCGCAAAGGGACUUUCUUCUUCUAGCAUGCUGCAGAAGGAAUCCUGAAUCCUCCACAGCCUUCUUUGGCUGUACUGCAGAUGACAUAAGGAAGAUGUUCUUUUUCCCUUCUACCUCAUGUGGCAACUGAAUGGAAUCUACUGAAACAUUUGCUGAUUGUUUGGCAUUCCAUAUGUAAAGUAGCCAUCAGAUUGACUAUGGGUAUUCGUAUAUGCUGAAUGGUGGCUUUUGUAUGGACAAACUACUUCAAGGCGCCUUGCUGACAGGAAGACUGCAAAGUUCCAGAAGAACAUCACCAAGAGGGGUUCAGUGCCUGAAACUACUAUCAAGAAGGGGAAUGACUACCCUGUUGGACCUGUAGUGCUUGGCUGUUUCAUCUUUGUCGUCAUUAGAUCAUAUAUGCUUUCCAACCUUCCCUAAAUCUUUCUUCCUGUUCAGAUUGUUCUAUGCUGGUGACAUGUUGAUUUAGAAUGCACACUUCCAUGCUGUUUUCGUCUAAAAAUAUUGAUAUGGUUCAUCCAUCGGUUUAACUUCUAACCUCCAUGACCAUAACUCUAGACUCUUCUGUGUUCAUCCAUAGUACAUGUAAACAUUCUAAGGAUAGAUUUUUUUUAAGUUCUCUUUCAAUUCUUGUUAGUGGUUAUGCUGCACUAGAUAUAUGUUUUUGACACUACUCUUUAGCCAUAGCUUAUUACUGCUGUUGUUCUGUAUGUUACUGUUACUCCUUUAGUAUGCUCAACUUGACUAGUCAUCUAUUUUUUUCAAUGUUAGAAAUAAGAAGCAUACCGCAAAAACUUUAACUUGAUUGGUUUUGAAAAUAUGAUAGGGACUUAUUUGUCUAAUCUAGUGUGUGAGGCACUUAGUACUUGCUGGCAGUAACUCAUGAGAAUGGAACUACACUGUUAAGACUAUAUGUAAAAUGCCAAGCCACCUACUUGUAACUCGAACACUGAACAUAUACUAAGUGUAAUGCCAAAUUGUCAACCACCAACUCUAAAACAGCACAUCUAUCCCACAAUUUUAUCAAUUUGCUGCUUUGUUGUGCCAUUUCUGUGCUUACCCAUCUGAUGCCUACAGUUUGUUUACUGUUGGAAAUGAACUAACAUGCUUCGCUGCCUUUUCCUUUGCAGCGUUGAUUCAUAUAAUCAGGACGGCAGCCAGCGGCGGGAUGGCGUAAGAAUUGGACAGCAGCUAAAUUGUCCAGUGUUGUCAUUGUUCUCCUGUAUGCAUUUUGUCCCGUGAGUGUUGAGUCUGAAAUUGGCGUCUGAAGAACUGCAGAAUCAUGUAGCUGAAAGUGUUUUUCUGAACCAGAAUAGCUGAAAGUGUGUAAUUUGAUAGUACAAUGUAUUAAUGUUUCAUUCAGUCUCUUCAGGAUCGUUUUUUCUUCCUGCA
Panicum hallii is the source of this 2714-nucleotide long non-coding RNA. RefSeq lists it as uncharacterized. Lineage: Eukaryota; Viridiplantae; Streptophyta; Magnoliopsida; Poales; Poaceae. The record is from RefSeq and is a predicted model, not a curated record. The transcript is spliced from 2 exons.